AAUCGGGUCCGGAGAGCCGCUGUCCGUCUCGAAAGGGACGGCCCAGAGGAAAUUCCGAACUCCGCAGAGCAGGGUGCCGUCUAACAGGCGGGGUGCCGGUGAACAAUCGCCGGCGCAUGGAUCAGUUCCACAGAGAACAGGUCGCCGAAUGCCCCGGGAGAACCCCGGGGGAUGGCGAAAAGUGAAACCGUGAGGUAAGGGCUCACGACCUUGGGCAGCAAUGCCCGAGGCUGGAAAACCCCACCCGGAGCAAGGCAAACGGCGCGAUACGAUCGGUUCUGGCUCGGAAUGUUCGUAUAACGCGCCCCCGAGCCGCAUAGAGACAUGGCUCUCGCCCCCUGAUGUUAAGGGGGAACAGAAUUCGGGGUACAGGACCUUGAUUACGG
Molecule: RNase P RNA, 386 nt
Filed under: Elusimicrobiota bacterium
Lineage: Bacteria; Pseudomonadati; Elusimicrobiota
Description: Elusimicrobia bacterium (groundwater metagenome) RNase P RNA component class A
Rfam family: Bacterial RNase P class A
About the family: Ribonuclease P (RNase P) is a ubiquitous endoribonuclease, found in archaea, bacteria and eukarya as well as chloroplasts and mitochondria. Its best characterised activity is the generation of mature 5'-ends of tRNAs by cleaving the 5'-leader elements of precursor-tRNAs.
Source: RNAcentral